Molecule: ribosomal RNA, 468 nt
Filed under: uncultured bacterium
Lineage: Bacteria
Description: partial 16S ribosomal RNA
Rfam family: Bacterial small subunit ribosomal RNA
Source: RNAcentral
GACGAACGCUGGCGGCGUGCUUAACACAUGCAAGUCGAACGGAAAGGCCCUGCUUUUGUGGGGUGCUCGAGUGGCGAACGGGUGAGUAACACGUGAGUAACCUGCCCUUGAUUUUGGGAUAACUUCAGGAAACUGGGGCUAAUACCGGAUAGGAGCUCCUGCUGCAUGGUGGGGGUUGGAAAGUUUCGGCGGUUGGGGAUGGACUCGCGGCUUAUCAGCUUGUUGGUGGGGUAGUUGCUUACCAAGGCUUUGACGGGUAGCCGGCCUGAGAGGGUGACCGGCCACAUUGGGACUGAGAUACGGCCCAGACUCCUACGGGAGGCAGCAGUGGGGAAUAUUGCACAAUGGGCGGAAGCCUGAUGCAGCAACGCCGCGUGCGGGAUGACGGCCUUCGGGUUGUAAACCGCUUUCGCCUGUGACGAAGCGUGAGUGACGGUAAUGGGUAAAGAAGCACCGGCUAACUACGUG